Molecule: non-coding RNA, 84 nt
Organism: Echinostoma caproni
Lineage: Eukaryota; Metazoa; Platyhelminthes; Trematoda; Plagiorchiida; Echinostomatidae
Source: Rfam
GGUCUCGUAGCUCAGCUGGUAGAGUGUGCGCUGUACAAAAACGUACGCGGCGUCCAUGCGUGGGUUUGAAUCCCACCGAGGCUA